This 207-nucleotide ribosomal RNA is filed under the name uncultured bacterium. RNAcentral's name for it is "partial 16S ribosomal RNA". It matches the Rfam family "Bacterial small subunit ribosomal RNA", at positions 568 to 774 of the family's 1533-position model. The record is from RNAcentral.
CACGUAGGCGGCUUUCUAAGUCGGGGGUGAAAUCCUGGAGCUCAACUCCAGAACUGCCUUCGAUACUGGGAAGCUCGAGUCCGGGAGAGGUGAGUGGAACUGCGAGUGUAGAGGUGAAAUUCGUAGAUAUUCGCAAGAACACCAGUGGCGAAGGCGGCUCACUGGCCCGGUACUGACGCUGAGGUGCGAAAGCGUGGGGAGCAAACA